UACAGAGGGUGCGAGCGUUGUCCGGAAUCACUGGGCUUAAAGGGUGCGUAGGCGGCUCGUUAGGUAGGGUGUGAAAGCCCCCGGCUCAACCGGGGAAUUGCGCCCUAAACCGGCGAGCUCGAGUGAGAUAGGGGUGUGUGGAACUUCCAGUGGAGCGGUGAAAUGUGUUGAUAUUGGAAGGAACGCCGGUGGCGAAAGCGACACACUGGGUCUCAACUGACGCUGAGGCACGAAAGCCAGGGGAGCAAACGGG
RNAcentral lists this ribosomal RNA (253 nucleotides) under uncultured bacterium. RNAcentral describes it as "partial 16S ribosomal RNA". It matches the Rfam family "Bacterial small subunit ribosomal RNA", at positions 524 to 776 of the family's 1533-position model. The record is from RNAcentral.